AUAUAUGAGGUUUUAAUUCUUUAUUGUAUUCCAUUUCCAACGGUGCUCGCAGUGGACAUGCAAGAUGCAACUAUGUCUGGGCAAAUAAAUUAAACCGAAUGUAUCGAACUAAAAUCGAAAUAAAAAUAACCGAAUAGAAUCAAAAAUUGGAAACUAAUCGAAUGGAUACUAAAUUCUAUAACCGAAAUAACCGAAACAGAAUGGAUAUAAACCUAAAUAUUUUGGGUAACCAAAAAUAUCCUAAAUAUAAAUAUAUUUUCAAAAAUAUUAGUUAUUUCUAGACUUAAUAAUUAAAAUACUUGAGAAUAUAUAUAAAAUAGUAAAAAUACUUG
This 332-nucleotide small RNA is filed under the name Arabidopsis thaliana (thale cress). RNAcentral describes it as "ATSL196410". Lineage: Eukaryota; Viridiplantae; Streptophyta; Magnoliopsida; Brassicales; Brassicaceae. The record is from RNAcentral.